CGUGAGGAACCUGCCUUUCAGAGGGGGACAACAGUUGGAAACGACUGCUAAUACCGCAUGACACAUUGGGGUCGCAUGGCCCUGAUGUCAAAGAUUUAUCGCUGAAAGAUGGCCUCGCGUCUGAUUAGCUAGUUGGUGAGGUAGCGGCCCACCAAGGCGACGAUCAGUAGCCGGACUGAGAGGUUGACCGGCCACAUUGGGACUGAGAUACGGCCCAG
Molecule: ribosomal RNA, 218 nt
Filed under: uncultured bacterium
Lineage: Bacteria
Description: partial 16S ribosomal RNA
Rfam family: Bacterial small subunit ribosomal RNA
Source: RNAcentral